RNAcentral lists this non-coding RNA (88 nucleotides) under unclassified sequences. The record is from RNAcentral.
AUCAAAACACCGCCGGGUGUCACUUACAGAAGUACUCUUAUCAAUUCCAUUAGGCCAUAGAAGGAAUUGAUAGGGGUACUUAUUUUUU